GAGAGAGUAAAGAAGAGAGAGAAAGAAGAAGAAAUUAAAAAGAUGAAGAAGAAGAAGAAAGAAGAAGGGGAAUCGACCGUAGAGCGUCACCGAAGCUAGGGUCUUAGUAUUUUAAGCCCGAAUUAAUGAUUAUCUCAUCAGGAUCUUUGAUUUGAGGUGAUUUUGCAGGUUAUCCACCUGGAGAUCAGGAGUCGAGCCCCACUGUGGAGUUUUCCUCUAAGGACUAGUGGGUUCCUAAUGAGUUCGAGCAUGGUGCCAAUUGCAUAUUCGAGGAUUGUGCUGCAUGGCAGCAGUGAUUCCUAAGUGAUUUUACAGAUUACCCACCUGGAGAUCAGGAGUCGGGCCCCACUAUGGAGUUUUCCUUUGAGGGAUGGUGGGGCCCUGAUGAGUUAGAGCACAGUGUCGAUUGCACGUUCAAGGAUUGUACUGUAUUGCACCAGUGACUCCUGAGUGAUUCUUUUUUAUGUACUCCCUUUUUAUUACUUGAUGCAUAAAUUGUUAUAUUUUUUGUAUAUAUCAUGCCUUCAGACCCAAAUGUAUAUAACUUUUAUAAUUCAAUUUGGGUAUCAAGUAUUUGGGAAACAAUUACAGGUGAUAUUAUGAACAGGUCUUCCACGCUAAAAACACAGGUCAGAUCUUAGUUUAGUAGGUAUAUGUUGUAUUGCAGUUACUGCAUUAUUGAUCCUAGCAGGUUGUGAGUUAACUAGAGUUAACUCGGUCACCGGCUCUGUUCUAUGCGGGCAGGG
This is a long non-coding RNA of Macadamia integrifolia, 746 nucleotides long. RefSeq lists it as uncharacterized. The transcript is spliced from 3 exons. The record is from RefSeq and is a predicted model, not a curated record. Lineage: Eukaryota; Viridiplantae; Streptophyta; Magnoliopsida; Proteales; Proteaceae.